Molecule: ribosomal RNA, 253 nt
Filed under: uncultured bacterium
Lineage: Bacteria
Description: partial 16S ribosomal RNA
Rfam family: Bacterial small subunit ribosomal RNA
Source: RNAcentral
UACGUAGGCAGCAAGCGUUGUUCGGAAUUACUGGGCGUAAAGAGUGUGUAGGCGGUUUUCUAAGUUCGGUGUGAAAUCUCCCGGCUCAACUGGGAGGGUGCGCCGAAUACUGAGAGGCUAGAGUGUGGGAGAGGAAAGUGGAAUUCCUGGUGUAGCGGUGAAAUGCGUAGAUAUCAGGAGGAACACCGGUGGUGUAAACGGCUUUCUGGACCAUAACUGACGCUGAGGCACGAAAGCGUGGGUAGCAAACAGG